Molecule: transfer RNA, 72 nt
Filed under: Cordylochernes scorpioides
Lineage: Eukaryota; Metazoa; Arthropoda; Arachnida; Pseudoscorpiones; Chernetidae
Description: tRNA-Gly
Source: RNAcentral
UGCAUCGGCCGGGAAUCGAACCCGGGCCGCCCGCGUGGCAGGCGAACAUUCUCGCUAUUGAACUACCGAUGC